RNAcentral lists this ribosomal RNA (423 nucleotides) under Triticum aestivum (bread wheat). Its description in RNAcentral is "partial small subunit ribosomal RNA". Lineage: Eukaryota; Viridiplantae; Streptophyta; Magnoliopsida; Poales; Poaceae. The record is from RNAcentral.
AUGCUUGACCACUUCUUGCAUGAGAUUGUUGACUUGUUGUCUUCUAUCUCAAAAAUGUCGCUCAGGUUCUUUCUCCGUGUGAUAAUCCAGCUCGGCUUGACUGGUAUGAAAGUCGCAUGUUAUUCAUGUCGCAUGUUAUUCAGGUUGCACAUCUCACAAUUGUUUAGAAGAAAUGCAUAUCUUUAUCCAUAUCUACAUUUGCUUUUAGUCAUAGCAAAAAGGGACAAGGACGGCGACUUCAACAGCGAUAGGACGGAAGCCAGUAUGCCUGGACCAACAAGCCGGUGUUCUUUAUUCCCUUCUUUCAUUAUGUCGGGAGUGGAUAAUCAACUUUCGUUUUUCUUUUCUGUACCUUCUUAUUUAUGCAUCUUAGUUAGGAAGCUAACUUCGUUUCUUUGCAUCAUCAUGGAAUAUUUUUUGUAG